Molecule: ribosomal RNA, 467 nt
Filed under: uncultured bacterium
Lineage: Bacteria
Description: bacterial SSU rRNA
Rfam family: Bacterial small subunit ribosomal RNA
Source: RNAcentral
ACUCCUACGGGAGGCAGCAGUGAGGAAUAUUGGUCAAUGGAGGCAACUCUGAACCAGCCAUGCCGCGUGAAGGAAGAAUGCCCUAUGGGUUGUAAACUUCUUUUAUUUGGGAAGAAACCUUUCUACGUGUAGAAAGCUGACGGUACCAAACGAAUAAGGACCGGCUAACUCCGUGCCAGCAGCCGCGGUAAUACGGAGGGUCCAAGCGUUAUCCGGAAUCAUUGGGUUUAAAGGGUUCGCAGGCGGUUUAUUAAGUCAGUGGUGAAAUCUCGGGGCUCAACUCCGAAACUGCCAUUGAUACUGAUAAACUUGAGUAUAGUUGAAGUAGGCGGAAUGUGUAGUGUAGCGGUGAAAUGCUUAGAUAUUACACAGAACACCGAUAGCGAAGGCAGCUUACUAAGCUAUUACUGACGCUCAUGAACGAAAGCGUGGGAGCGAACAGGAUUAGAUACCCUGGUAGCGACUGA